ACACGACUACAUUAGAUACCCGGGUAGUCCAGGGUGUAAACGCUGCGGGCUUGGUGUUGGGGGGUCCUUAGUGGGCGCCCAGUGCCGGAGAGAAGUUGUUAAGCCUGCUGCUUGGGGAGUAUGUCCGCAAGGAUGAAACUUAAAGGAACUGGCGGGGGAGCACCGCAACGGGAGGAGCGUGCGGUUCAAUUGGAUUCAACGCCGGACAACUCACCAGGAGCGACGGUUACAUGAAGGCCAGGCUGAUGACCUUGCCUGAUUUUCCG
This 266-nucleotide ribosomal RNA is filed under the name uncultured archaeon. RNAcentral describes it as "partial 16S ribosomal RNA". It matches the Rfam family "Archaeal small subunit ribosomal RNA", at positions 717 to 982 of the family's 1478-position model. The record is from RNAcentral.